Molecule: RNA transcript, 1504 nt
Organism: Bombus pascuorum
Lineage: Eukaryota; Metazoa; Arthropoda; Insecta; Hymenoptera; Apidae
Exons: 7
Source: RefSeq, a predicted model, not a curated record
AUCUAAUUAACAUGAACAAUUGAAGAAAGAAGAAGAGGAAUAAUUUAGAAAUAAAUAAUUAUUAUAAAUAGGCACAAAUCAAUAGCUUUUUUUAUAAUGAUUUUAAAAAAUACUAUAAAUGUAUUGAAAAAGAAUACACUUGUAACGUUAAUGUAAAACAUUACAAGUUUGGAAUAUAUAGGUAUAUUUCAUUCGAAGAUUCUAAAUUAUUAACUCAUAUGGAUCACUACAAACUCGUUACCCAUGAAAAUCGUCAUUAUUUGUUUGUAACACCACUUACGAUUCGAUUUACAAGAAAAGAAAUGAAAUAAAAUGAGGCAAUACAAAAUUUGUAAUUCUUUAUAUAAAAACAUGAUAUAAAAAAUUAUCAAUUUUAUUAAAAAGGAUUAUUAUCUUUUUAUUUUUAGUUUUAUCUAUUUUCUUAUAUAAUCGGAAUCUCUAUACCGGAAAUCCUAUCCAAAUUUAAUUUGUCCAAGAAGAGACACGAGGAUACGAAACGUGAUUAAUUCCAUAUUUUCAUAGUCUCAUUUCCCAUUUCCGUAGCAUUCGCGCAUAAAGUUUGAGGUUUAUUGAAGAUAAUAAACAUGUCAAUGUUAGAUUUAAAAAUAACGUGUUCAUAUAAAGCUGUAAAUAUGGGACGUUCAUACAAAAAAUGUAAAGUACGUAGAGGCAUGUUAUUUUACCAUUUGGUGCAAUCUCGUAAAAACAAUUUAUGGAGAAAAAUAAAAUAUCCAAAUAAAUGUGACAAAAUUGACAAAGUAUUGUUGAAGGUAUACGACCGUAUGUUAAAUAAUACACGUAGUGAAAAGGUUAAAAGACAACGAAAUAACUUUCAAGUACCAUGUAGAAUAAUAUCAAUAGUAUCUUUGGAAACAAUUAAAAACCUAUGUGUUCCUAUAAUGGAAGAUUGGAAAGAGGAAAAUGUAGCAACCUAUGACCCUUGGAAAAGCAUUGAGGAUAGAAAUAUUAUACGAAGCUUAGUAGGAGGCACAAAAGCAGAAAGGAAGCAAUCUAGAUUAGCUGAACGACAAAGAAUCCAAAACUUUGAAGAAAGAAGUAUGUUGAAUUCAAAUCAAAAAACCAGCUUUGUAUAUAAAACAUCAAAGAAAGUUGUAGAUAUUACACAAGUUGUGGAUGAUUUGAAAAGAUUAUACCUAAAUAAUUUUAAAGAUAUUGAUAUUAGUACAUUGCAGAAUAUCAAUAUUAACAAACUAUCUAUAAGCAACAUUGAUAAAAAGAACACUUGUGUGGGAAAAGAUGAUAAGGCAGGGGUUAUAGAACAGGAAUUAGUACAAAAAUUCAAAAAAUUGAUGCUUUAUCACUUCACAAAAUAAAUUUUUUAAAACUGGCAAACUAAGAGAAUUUAAUAGUAUUAUUUACUUUUAUUUAAGAAAGUGCAUAUUUCCUGAGACAUCCUUUAUAUAAAAAUUGCCUUAAUUAUAAAAUUUACAUUCACCAUAUUUGUGUAUUUUACUAUAUGUAUGAUACAUAUAUGUACACUUUG